CCUACGGGUGGCUGCAGUGGGGAAUCUUGCGCAAUGGGCGAAAGCCUGACGCAGCGACGCCGCGUGGAGGACGAGGCCCUUCGGGGUGUAAACUCCUGUUGCCCGGGACGAACGAGCGGUUGCGACCGCUGUGACGGUACCGGGUGAGGAAGCACCGGCUAACUCUGUGCCAGCAGCCGCGGUAAUACAGAGGGUGCGAGCGUUGUCCGGAAUCACUGGGCGUAAAGGGCGCGUAGGCGGCCCCUCACGCGUGCCGUGAAAGCCCGGGGCUCAAC
This 275-nucleotide ribosomal RNA is filed under the name uncultured bacterium. RNAcentral's name for it is "partial 16S ribosomal RNA". It matches the Rfam family "Bacterial small subunit ribosomal RNA", at positions 338 to 613 of the family's 1533-position model. The record is from RNAcentral.